This 484-nucleotide ribosomal RNA is filed under the name uncultured bacterium. Its description in RNAcentral is "partial 16S ribosomal RNA". It matches the Rfam family "Bacterial small subunit ribosomal RNA", at positions 38 to 507 of the family's 1533-position model. The record is from RNAcentral.
GGGGGGGGGGGGGGGGGGGCCUGGCGGGGGCGGGGCGGGCGGAUGAAGGGAGCUGGCUGCUGGAUUCAGCGGCGGGCGGGUGAGGAAUGCCUAGGACUCUGCCUGGUAGUGGGGGAUAACGUCCGGGAACGGGCGCUAAUACCGCCUACGUCCUGCGGGAGAAAGUGGGGGAUCUUCGGACCUCACGCUAUCAGCUGAGCCUAGGUCGGAUUAGCUAGUUGGUGGGGUAAAGGCCUACCAAGGCGACGAUCCGUAACUGGUCUGAGAGGAUGAUCAGUCACACUGGAACUGAGACACGGUCCAGACUCCUACGGGAGGCAGCAGUGGGGAAUAUUGGACAAUGGGCGAAAGCCUGAUCCAGCCAUGCCGCGUGUGGGAAGAAGGUCUUCGGAUUGUAAAGCACUUUAAGUUGGGAGGAAGGGCAGUAAGUUAAUACCUUGCUGUUUUGACGUUACCAACAGAAUAAGCACCGGCUAACUUCGUG